AGUUUAAAAGUUUAAAACAUUAAAUUGCAAAUUUAAAAUUAUUAAAUAUAUUAAUUAUUUAAUUAAACUU
RNAcentral lists this transfer RNA (70 nucleotides) under Synergus sp. ZJUH_2016033. RNAcentral's name for it is "tRNA-Cys". The record is from RNAcentral. Lineage: Eukaryota; Metazoa; Arthropoda; Insecta; Hymenoptera; Cynipidae.